RNAcentral lists this long non-coding RNA (1490 nucleotides) under Salmo trutta (river trout). RNAcentral's name for it is "lncRNA (ENSSTUG00000038886.1)". Lineage: Eukaryota; Metazoa; Chordata; Actinopteri; Salmoniformes; Salmonidae. The record is from RNAcentral.
ACAGACAGUCACUGUGUGUCCCUAGUCCCUCCUCCUCUACAGACAGUCACUGUGUGUCCCUCCUCCUCUACAGACAGUCACUGUGUGUCCCUCCUCCUCUACAGACAGUCACUGUGUGUCCCUCCUCCUCUACAGACAGUCACUGUGUGUCCCUCCUCCUCUACAGACAGUCACUGUGUGUCCCUAGUCCCUCUUCCUCUACAGACAGUCACUGUGUGUCCCUCUUCCUCUACAGACAGUCACUGUGUGUCCCUCCUCCUCUACAGACAGUCACUGUGUGUCCCUCCUCCUCUACAGACAGUCACUGUGUGUCCCUCCUCCUCUACAGACAGUCACUGUGUGUCCCUCCUCCUCUACAGACAGUCACUGUGUGUCCCUAGUCCCUCUUCCUCUACAGACAGUCACUGUGUGUCCCUCUUCCUCUACAGACAGUCACUGUGUGUCCCUCUUCCUCUACAGACAGUCACUGUGUGUCCCUCCUCCUCUACAGACAGUCACUGUGUGUCCCUCCUCCUCUACAGACAGUCACUGUGUGUCCCUCCUCCUCUACAGACAGUCACUGUGUGUCCUAGCCUCUCCUCUACAGACAGUCACUGUGUGUCCCUAGUCCCUCUUCCUCUACAGACAGUCACUGUGUGUCCCUCUUCCUCUACAGACAGUCACUGUGUGUCCCUCCUCCUCUACAGACAGUCACUGUGUGUCCCUAGUCCCUCCUCUACUUUCCUCUGCAUGCUGUGGAGUUCACCAGGACUUCUCCAUGAACGGUGUGGGUCUGCUGCUUCACACACACACUGGGUGUCUUCCAGGUGGUCUGUUUUUGCAGUCAUGAUGCACAUCUCAGAAGAUCACAAUACGUCAUAUUUACGAGCUGCCUGAGAUGUUAAAAAAACCUCUCCGGGCAUUGCGACUCGGGAACGCACCCACACCCUCAAUGCUAAUACUGUAAACAUGUCUGUCUUUUUCUGCAGUUUCCUUCCUAAUACUGUAAACAUGUCUGUGUGUUUUUCUGCAGUUUCCUUCCUCAAUGCUAAUACUGUAAACAUGUCUGUGUGUUUUUCUGCAGUUUCCUUCCUAAUAUUGUAAACAUGUCUGUGUGUUUUUCUGCAGUUUCCUUCCUAAUACUGUAAACAUGUCUGUGUAUUUUCUGCAGUUUCCUUCCUAAUACUGUAAACAUGUCUGUGUGUUUUCUGCAGUUUCCUUCCUAAUACUGUAAAACAUGUCUGUGUGUUUUCUGCUGUUUCCUUCCAGCCCUACCACAGUGAGGUGCAUUGUUAGCUCAACACAACAGUGUAAAUAUUGUGUAAAGUAAAAGUGUCAGGGAUUCAUGGUAAACAUCGCAUUCCUCCGACGUCUUGUGAUACAUGCUAUACACACGUACUGUAACUAUGGUGUAAUUUUUGGUGAACUUUUCUGUUUUGUAAAAUAAUAUAAAAUGUAUGAGGAUAACAAUAAUAGCUUAUUAAAUAUAAUUGUGAAAAACAAAAGUGAUA